Molecule: ribosomal RNA, 351 nt
Filed under: uncultured Latescibacterota bacterium
Lineage: Bacteria; Pseudomonadati; Candidatus Latescibacterota
Description: bacterial SSU rRNA
Rfam family: Bacterial small subunit ribosomal RNA
Source: RNAcentral
GCACAGGUGCUGCAUGGCUGUCGUCAGCUCGUGUCGUGAGAUGUUGGGUUAAGUCCCGCAACGAGCGCAACCCUUAUCCCCAGUUGCCAUCAGGUAAAGCUGGGAACUCUGGGGAGACUGCCGGUGAUAAACCGGAGGAAGGCGGGGAUGACGUCAAGUCCUCAUGGCCCUUACAUCCCGGGCUACACACGUGCUACAAUGGCAGGUACAGAGGGCUGCAAAGCCGCGAGGUAGAGCGAAUCCCAGAAAACCUGUCUCAGUCCGGAUUGAAGUCUGCAACUCGACUUCAUGAAGGCGGAAUCGCUAGUAACCGCGAAUCAGCAGGUCGCGGUGAAUACGUUCCCGGGCCUU